Molecule: ribosomal RNA, 253 nt
Filed under: uncultured bacterium
Lineage: Bacteria
Description: partial 16S ribosomal RNA
Rfam family: Bacterial small subunit ribosomal RNA
Source: RNAcentral
UACGUAGGUGGCAAGCGUUGUCCGGAAUUAUUGGGCGUAAAGCGCGCGCAGGUGGUUUCUUAAGUCUGAUGUGAAAGCCCACGGCUCAACCGUGGAGGGUCAUUGGAAACUGGGGAACUUGAGUGCAGGAGAGAAGAGUGGAAUUCCACGUGUAGCGGUGAAAUGCGUAGAGAUGUGGAGGAACACCAGUGGCGAAGGCGGCUAUCUGGCCCGUAAUUGACGCUGAGGCGCGAAAGCGUGGGGAGCAAACAGG